This 499-nucleotide ribosomal RNA is filed under the name uncultured bacterium. RNAcentral describes it as "bacterial SSU rRNA". It matches the Rfam family "Bacterial small subunit ribosomal RNA", at positions 28 to 525 of the family's 1533-position model. The record is from RNAcentral.
GAUGAACGCUGGCGGCGUGCCUAACAUAUGCAAGUCGAGCGCGAUUAAGUGGAGUGAGAACUUCGGUUCAAGUGAAACUUAUGAAAGCGGCGGACGGGUGAGUAACGCGUGGGUAACCUGCCCCAUACAAAGGGAUAGCCACUGGAAACGGUGAUUAAUACCUUAUAAGUCGGUAGUCUCGCAUGAGACAGCCGACAAAGAUUUAUCGGUAUGGGAUGGACCCGCGUCUGAUUAGCUAGUUGGUGAGGUAACGGCUCACCAAGGCGACGAUCAGUAGCCGACCUGAGAGGGUGAUCGGCCACACUGGAACUGAGACACGGUCCAGACUCCUACGGGAGGCAGCAGUGGGGAAUAUUGCACAAUGGGCGCAAGCCUGAUGCAGCAACGCCGCGUGAGUGAUGAAGGCUUUCGGGUCGUAAACUCUGUCCUAUGGGAAGAAAAAAUAGACGGUACCAUAGGAGGAAGCCCGGCUAACUACGUGCCAGCAGCCGCGGUAAAG